UAUAUAUAAGUUGACCAUUCCUGUUUUCUGUUUUCUUCUACUAGCGUACAUGCAAUAUGUUAAUUUCGGUUGGAGCUUAACGGGUUCUGAAUUUCAGUUUUGCUCGGUGUUGUUUUACAAAUUCUGAUCAGACGAAAUAAAGUUUUACUACAAAAUGCAACAAAGUUCAUUGAUAUUGCAUAGUUCAUGAAGAUAUGUCGGAGUAGGGAAGUUGAUGGAUCAUGCAACUUUAGUUUGAACUACUUCGAUUGCAAUGGUGCAUGUGCUAUGGUUAACGAUUAAAUUUAUACGUGAGAUGAUGCUUUGCAAUGGACCUCGAACUUGCAUUCCCCUUGGUGCGCGCAAUCGCGCGCUUUCAUACGACUCUCUUUGACUGGCAACAACUACAACAACAAUAUCCCCGAGCUACCUAUGUACGCUGAAUUCAGUUGUCACCUAUUGGGAAGAUAGAUAAUGAAGAGAACAAGUUGGCCUGAUUGUUGAUAUAUGCUUGUUUGCCUUCGACGUUGCACAAGAGAUGACCAAUUAAUCAACAAACUAGAAUGAUCCACACUGCCUAUGUAGUCGCUCCAAAAAAUUAUUUUACUUAAUUAACAGCGUUUUUGCUGCCUCUGAGCUUAACAUUCUUAUAUGUGAAAACUCCAAGUAAGCUCAGAAUUAUAUGUAGCUGAUGUUUUAGGAUAAAUUGACACAUAAGAAGCGACCAAUGAAUGAAAAUACUAGAAAACAUGUAAGGCAUAUGCUGUUUUGAAAUACAAAUAUAGAUUUAAAAAAUUAAAUCAUAACAGCGA
Molecule: long non-coding RNA, 791 nt
Organism: Glycine soja
Lineage: Eukaryota; Viridiplantae; Streptophyta; Magnoliopsida; Fabales; Fabaceae
Exons: 4
Source: RefSeq, a predicted model, not a curated record